Molecule: long non-coding RNA, 2214 nt
Organism: Gigantopelta aegis
Lineage: Eukaryota; Metazoa; Mollusca; Gastropoda; Neomphalida; Peltospiridae
Exons: 4
Source: RefSeq, a predicted model, not a curated record
AACAAUCAUUGAGAAAGUCAUUGUAAAACACAAGCAAACAUAAUUGUGCGCAUCCUUUUAUACCGCUGUUUUACAGUUGCUGAAGGACUUUGUCUUGUUAUUUCAAAAGAAAUCGCCAAUGAUUCAUCUGCUUCAUGAUGCACAGGACCAGCUACUGAGGGAUUUCAUGGCCUGCUUUGUGAAGGCUGAACUUGUGGUACACAAAUCAGCUGCACAACUUAAAGCUAUGAAUCUUGGAAUUGAUGAAGGCCAAUCUUCUAGGAAGUCAGAUAUGUUUGUAGGAAUAAAAGCUGAGAUUUCCUCAAAAGAGCCAGCACAUCAUAUAUUCAAUGUACUACACAGAUGCAAAAAAGCUACCCUUGGAUAAUGCCAUGCUGAGAGCUGUUUCUGCCAUUGAUCCAGAUGCACGGGGCCACAAUGAGACUGUGAAAUGUAUUAAAACCCAGAGAGAUAGUCUUAGACAUUUUCUCAGUGAUGAAGAUGUUGAGAAGUUAUCUUUAGAAGUGCACAGAUUUCAAGUAGAUACUUCUCUUCCUUCUUCGAAAAAGCUUAAUGUUGGAGAAAACCAGAAAUAUCCUGCUCUAACCAAGAUGAUCAUGCCAGUUUUGACAUGUUUUCAUGGACCCAUGGUCGAGUCAUCCUUCAGUUUGAUGGGGAACAUUAUUGACCCCAAAUCCUCGAAGAUGAAUGUCAGCACCUUCAAUGCUAUACAGACAGUGAAAUAUGGACUGAAUGCUAGGCAGACACCUUCUCUUGAAAUGUUCCACAAAGAAGAUGUGCUACACACCAGAGUGGACAAGCAGCUAUGUCUGAACAUGAGGAGUGCUGCAAAACAGCAAAAGCAGCGAUGGAAAGACCUAGUUCUUUUGAAACAAAAAAGACUUGACACAUUUAAGGACAAUUUGACCUAUGUUCCACCAAGCAGUCAGGCCAGACUAUCAGUUGCCGAAGCUGAAAAGAUUGCAAGAAUACAGCACCAAAAAUCACAGAAGAGGAAGGCCAUAGAGAGAUUACAUCAUGUAUGUGCCGAAAAGAAAGCCAGAAUGUAACCCAUGUGCAUUUAAAUAUCUUCAUGCAUUUAUACUUUCUGUAACUAGGACAUUCACCACAUUGAAAUUAUUUGACAUUAUUUGUCAUCUAAUAGUGGCAUUUGCCAUAGUUUGACACCCAAUAGCCGAUGUAUUUUUCGUGCUUUGGUGUCGUUAAACAUUCAUUCAUUCAUUCUAAUAGUGGAAAAUUGUGAACAAUCAUCUCUGAUGUACAUGUUUCUUUUAAACAAUUACUGGAUUAUAUUGAUCAACAAGAGAACUUCUACUGCUUAACAUUUGUUGUUGAUCAACUGAACUAAAGAACUGCCUACAUAUUAUUUCUGAUGUAUCAACAAAAUAACUUUUACUACUUAGCAUUUAUUAUUGAACUGCCUACACUUAACAUUUGUCAUUGAUUGAUCAUCUAAAGAACUUGCUACUACAGUACUUGUGAUUGGUUUAUCAACUGAAGAACAUCCUAGUUCUUACUCAACUAAAUUGGUCCUGACAAUACUUGUUUGUCACUUUAAGAUGGCCCAAUCCCAGGCAGUAUUAACUUCAGUUCUACUGCAAGUGUCGAAGAAGGACACGAUCUGACUGUGGACUGCACUGUUGACUGUAACCCGCCAUGUGACUACUCCUGGACACUGGGUGAUAAUCAAACCACAACAAGUCCUCUGUUAAAUCUGACAGUCAUCAGCAGGAAUCAGGACGGGAAUGUGUACAGCUGUACAACGACAAACAUUGUUCUACUUACAUCUAUAAGUAAAAACUUUACGCUGACAGUCACUUAUGAUCCAGAGCGCAUGUCUGCGUUAAGUGCAGGUGCUAUAUCGGGAAUUGUGAUCGCUGUUGUUCUGGCUCUUGCUAUUCCUACUGUGUGCAUACUUUAUGAGAGGAAAAUAAAGAAGAAAGCUGAAGAUGUGCAGAACGAAUCUAAUAACUAACAGAAACCAAAAUCAAACUCACAACCCUGCAUGUUUCCGUAAUUAGUACCUGGAGAUAGAAGACAGAAACAUGCUAAUGUUAGAACUCCACAGUUUACUUUUUCAAUUCGUAUGAAACCGUAUCAGUAAACAAGACUCUUUUGUUGUUGUUUUUUGUUGUUUUUUUGGGUGUUCCACUAUUUUAUAUAUAUAUAUUUAUUUGUUUUAAACUAAAAUUGUAACUGAAAUCAGACUGAAGU